AAAAAUAAUAUAUUUUCAAAAAUUUCUCAAAGCGGUCGCUCGUUUCUUAUUUUGAGCGCGAGAUUUUUUGCCUGUCGAUUUGUAAUGAAACGCAACAAUCGAUUAUCGAAGAGAUCGAAGAGUAUCUUAAUUGAAAAAGUGUUUUGUUUCUAACGAAUAAUCGAAAUCGAAUACAAAAAUCGAGUCGUUCGAAGCAUCAAAAAAUGACAAACAACGGCUCAUGUAUUUAUAACCAGUCUUCGCCUCUUGUACGGAAAUGGUAAUUUGGAACGGAUAAGUUCGUCACGGUAAAAUUCGUCACGUCACUUUCGGCGAUUUAUCGUAUAUUCGCAGUUUUGUCGCAACUUUAUGUCGUUCUUUGUGCAGCGCCUUUAUUAAGAUACAAAACAUAGAACGGCAUGUACAAUCAUAAUAGUAUCGUCGGCGAGAGAGAAUUAUUUUUCUUUCUUUUAUAUUCGUUUUUUUUCUCUGUUGUUUUCUUAAAAGAGGAAAAAAUAGAAAAAACGAAUACCAAGAAAAACUAUCAAAAGUUAAUAUGAACAUUUAUCUAGUUACGAAAGCUCUCGAUCGUUUCUUUAAAUUUGAUAUUAAUUCGUUAUGCAUUUCAUUUCUUUUUCCUUUUUUGUUCUUGUCUAUCUAAGUUUCGUAUAUGUACAUUAUAUACAUGUAAAACGGUUAAUUUAUAUAUAUAUAUAUAUAUUCUCGUAUCUUAAUGAUUGUAUAAUUAGGAUUGACUAUGUCUUAGAAUAAUCAACGAAAUUAUUAAUUAUUGUGUAAAAUAUCAAAUAUCGUACUGUUAGAUGGUAUGUCCAUCUCCAAGGUACCAUUUUGGACGAAUAUCGGUCCGUCUAACUUGCCUAGCACUUUGAUGAGCAAAUACUUUGGAGAUUACAUAAUCUAAUAAUAUCAGGUAAUAUUAAGUAUAGAUGAUUUUCAUUAAUUACAAAUAUAAAACAUGUAUAUGUAAAUAGAAUUCUUAAUUAUGCGCAAACAUGAUCUCUAAUUGAGCAUACGUGAAUUUUAUCAUCAGUCUAAGCCGAACGAUGCGGCUCCAUACACAACAGCAGCGGUUAACAAUACACGUUUCUUUUUUUUUUUUUUUAAGCUUUGUAGAAUCUACCGUAACAAAUCAGUGUCCUUCUCGAUUAAUGAAAUAACAAUAGCGCAUGCUACGAAAACGUUAUAUUCGUAAAACUUUCAAACAGUUCUCAAGCAUAAAACACACAUGACAACGGCGCGAAAAAGUAUACAAUGUGAACGACAUCCUUAAGAUUUCCUUGCCUUUCCUUUUGCCGCGCGUGCAAGUUCAUUCUUUCGUUUCUUUUUAUGUUACGUGUUUAUUCAAGAAUACAGGUAUAGCAAAUCCCAUCGAUUCUCGCAUGAAUCGAUAGAAUCGAUCAAUGAUCGCGAUAGAAUGAAAAUAGUAUAGGAUGCAAUCGAUCAUCGAUACUAUCAUUCACGCUCGAUCUUUUUGAGACUCUAUAAGUACGAUUGCUCGGAACAUACAUAUCUACGCAGCGAUUCUCGUAUUAAUUUACAUGGAUUUAAUCUGAAGUGAUUUCUCGCAUAGAUGAUGAACAUUCUCAGAUGAGUUUCUUCCAUCCACAAAUUCGUCGAUUUCCAUUUAAUUCACACGAUGGAUCAUGUAAGUCUUUACAUCACUAUGAAGUCGUCACAAUUAAGUAAAAGUGCGUAAAUAAGCGCAAUCAAAAACCACAGAAAGAAAUAGUAAAAACAAAUCGAAUAAAUCACUGACAGCAUGCUAACUGUGGUAUCACGAAAAUAUCUUCAGAGUUGAUUCCAAUGGGUUGUUCACAAGUAUCAAUCGUUCUUUUUAAAAUGUGAUAUGCGAAAAACGUAAUUAUACGAUCUAUCAUAAGAUCCAAGUCGAGGUACGUAUUUGAUAAUUAUGUUCGCAGAAAAACUAAUGAAACCAGCAUAUAAGGAAUGCAUAUUGCAUAUUGCAAACGGUGUUACCGCAUGCUACUUAAAAAUUACGUAUAGAAACCGCAACAUCGGUUCCUCUUUUCCUUUGUUUCUAUUUACAUACUUCUAUUACUUUCUUUUAUGUUCAAGGAGGAUAAUGUGUAUGAGAAAGUCGUCGAAGCACCCACACAAACUCUUUAUGAUCGCACAAUUUCAUCAAAAAAAUUCUGUUUCACGUCCUCGAACGAUAUCAAACUGACAUAACCAUAUAUAUAUAGCUCAGUGA
Molecule: long non-coding RNA, 2212 nt
Organism: Apis florea (little honeybee)
Lineage: Eukaryota; Metazoa; Arthropoda; Insecta; Hymenoptera; Apidae
Source: RefSeq, a predicted model, not a curated record